ACACGUAAGGUGCGAGCGUUGUUCGGAAUUAUUGGGCGUAAAGGGCUCGUAGGCGGCCUGCCAAGUCCCACGUGAAAGACCAGGGCUCAACCCUGGGAACGCGAGGGAAACUGGUAAGCUGGAAUCUUGGAGGGGGUACUGGAAUUCCUAGUGUAGGGGUGAAAUCUGUUGAUAUUAGGAAGAACACCGGAGGCGAAGGCGAGUACCUGGCCAAAGAUUGACGCUGAUGAGCGAAAGCGUAGGGAGCGAACAGGAUUAGAUACCCUGGUAGUCUACGCCGUAAACGAUGUGCACUUGGUGGUGGUCCCGUCCGGGAUCGCUGCCGUAGCUAACGCGUUAAGUGCACCGCCUGGGGAGUACGCCGGCAACGGUUAA
RNAcentral lists this ribosomal RNA (375 nucleotides) under uncultured bacterium. RNAcentral describes it as "bacterial SSU rRNA". It matches the Rfam family "Bacterial small subunit ribosomal RNA", at positions 523 to 898 of the family's 1533-position model. The record is from RNAcentral.